This is a long non-coding RNA of Pseudoliparis swirei, 1599 nucleotides long. RefSeq lists it as uncharacterized. Lineage: Eukaryota; Metazoa; Chordata; Actinopteri; Perciformes; Liparidae. The record is from RefSeq and is a predicted model, not a curated record. The transcript has 3 exons.
CCGAAACUGACCAAACGAUAUCCCAGAAUGCAUUGCGCAGCAGCAACAGGAAACAAUGGCGGAGAAAAUAAACAUAAAUACUACUGUUGUUGAGUCACGGAAUGUAAUUUAAGAAUGUUUUCAGUCGAGAAGUUAGUAGUUUAAGCAUCAAAUCUGUUGUCAGUUUAUCGAGAUUCAGCCUAAAAAAAAUAUUCGCCGGAGAUUGUCGGUCCUGCUGCAGACCGGUGAGCUCCACAGCGCCGGGCGGUCAGCGCGCUGUGUGGCCGUCGAGAGCAGCCUGAUCUCGGCAGGACUAUUUUAAUUGCUCCGCUGGCUCUGAUGUCUCCGGGUGUUUUUAAUUACAGCCUGUCCCGAACUGACGCACUCGUGUCUACAUUUCACAAAAUGCAAUUGUCUUGUCCAACCAGCUUCCAGUUAAAUACACAUUAUAAAAUAGCACAUCUACCUAGUUUUUAUUCCAUUAGUUUGUAUUUCGUCAAUCACAGUCGUAAAAGAAAGUAAAGCUGAUCGUGUGAAAUCCCGGGGGAACACCAGCGGGAGACCCUGAUGAAUAUACCAAGCGCUCCUCAAAACCUGGACGUGUUUGGGAAACAACAGUCUGCCUUCAGUGCGCAGUGAAUUUCAUCGGCGUCAGUCCACUAUCGCUUUUCAGGAGCCUCACAGGCCUGAAACUCAAAGGACCCUGGAAAGGCCACAAGACAGUGCAGCUGUGAGUCACAAGGAUUCACUUGCAGGUACCUGCAAAUUGACUAAUAUAUUUAAACUAGGGCUGUGAAACAAUUACAAUUUGUAAUCAAAUUAAUCACAGGUUUCUGUGGUUUAAUCAUGAUUAAUCACAUAUUACCGAUAUUCUCUGUAUAUUUUUGUGAGAACAUAAAGAUUUAUGACAAAAGACGGCUAUAUACAUUCAUACAUUGCUGCAACUCAGCAGUUAUUUAGCAAUUCUCUUCCAUAUGGAACAUUAAUAUAUCUUCAUCCUACACAGAACGUUUAAAUAUAACAUUUUUCUCUUGUUUGUCAACCAUUAACUCCACCAUGAUACAAUCUAAAGGCCUCUCGUCUUCCUCUAGCAGCUGCUGAGGCAAACUGACUGUGGGUUUUCUUCAUGAACUGGGGUCAUGAUGAAAGGGACGGCGGGGACACCGUUGCAAAGCUGAAACUUAAAGGAAUUGACGGAAGGCACCAGCAGGAGUGGAGCCUGCGGCUUCAUGUGACUCAACACGGGAAACCUCACCGGCCCGGACAGGAGAAUGGACCAAAUGUCAACUGGAAGUUUUUAUAUUAAUACAGUUUGAAAAGGAUUGUUUUCCUAGUAUAUUCACAAAAGCUCAGGAGUAGACAUGAACCUGUGCACAAACAUCCAUCACAUAGAGACAUGAGAACUCUCACUCACCCACACACACAUACAUUCUAUUAUGUAAAUGAAUCUGCAUUUUAAAAGCAGCUGGAAAUGUUAUUUGUUAUUUUAUGGAUUUUUUUUGUUCAAAAGGAACUAUGUUGCAUGUAUUUUUUAAAUAUAUUUACUUAAUUUUAGAGACAUUUGUUCAUGGGACUUAAAUGUUCUGAAAAUGUAUUAAUAAAUAUAAUUUACAACAGCAA